GAUGAAGACGUAGCGAAAUGCGAUAAGUAAUGUGAAUUGCAGAAUUCAGUGAAUCAUCGAAUCUUUGAACGCACAUUGCGCCCGCCAGUAUUCUGGCGGGCAUGCCUGUUCGAGCGUCAUUUCAACCAUCAAGCCCCCGGCUUGUGUUGGGGACCUGCGGCUGCCGCAGGCCCUGAAAAGCAGUGGCGGGCUCGCUGUCACACCGAGCGUAGUAGCAUACAUCUCGCUCUGGGCGUGCUGCGGGUUCCGGCCGUUAAACCCCCUUCAUAACCCAAGGUUGACCUCGGAUCAGGUAGGAAGACCCGCUGAACUUAAGCAUAUCAAUAAGCGGAGGA
This 335-nucleotide unclassified non-coding RNA is filed under the name soil metagenome. RNAcentral's name for it is "partial contains 5.8S ribosomal RNA, internal transcribed spacer 2, and large subunit ribosomal RNA". The stretch from base 1 to 119 matches the Rfam family "5.8S ribosomal RNA", at positions 35 to 154 of the family's 154-position model. The record is from RNAcentral.